AAGGUUUCCGUAGGUGAGCCUGCGGAAGGGUACGUUAAACAACCUGUGAACCUUCAUUCUUGCUCUCCUCGAGCCCUAACAAAAUGUCACAAUUUGAUUCAAGGACCUCUCUUGUCAGCCAUCGUGGAUUCGAUGAGGUCGUCGCAACUUGGCUUCUGUGGGGCAGUUAGUGGGUGAAAGUGCCCUGAUUGCUUAAGCAGAUAACCGAUUAAAACUCGGAUCAUCGAGUGCCCUCACGGCCGAUGAACAAGUCUCUGGGCUUGGGGCCCAAAUUAACUACCUCUGAGCCUUAGCGGCCGCCUCGUGCUGUCGCUGUCCUGAAAGCUGAACAACUGUUAACAAUGGAUAUCUUGAUUCUCA
Molecule: unclassified non-coding RNA, 360 nt
Filed under: fungal sp.
Lineage: Eukaryota; Fungi
Description: partial internal transcribed spacer region
Source: RNAcentral